This 530-nucleotide unclassified non-coding RNA is filed under the name Hevea brasiliensis (rubber tree). Lineage: Eukaryota; Viridiplantae; Streptophyta; Magnoliopsida; Malpighiales; Euphorbiaceae. The record is from RNAcentral.
UGCCAAUCUGAUAUUACAAUGCCCUGAAACAUACACACAGAAACAAAUUAUGUUAGGGUCUAUAUCACUAUAUUUCGGGCUUUUUUUCAAAAAGUAGUCUUUCAAACCAAAAAUUACCAAAAGGGGUUACAUGAAAAAUAUUUAUCAAAAAGAAUGAGACGCUGUUUAUGCUAGAGUCUAACAUGUAAAAAUAAACAAGUAAAUAAAUAAAUAAAAUAAUAAUUGAAUAGUCAAAAAAUUAAAAAUUAAAAAAAAAUAAAAAGAGCAAGGCAUGUGUAUUAGUAGCGUCUGGCUCCCGACGGCAGAUGUACUGAAAUUCUCUAAACGCUGGACACUGCAACGAUUAAUGCCUAGCGAUUAAAACUCAAAUUUAAAUUGUUAAGGAGGCGACCAUAAUGGGAGCCUCUGAUUGGAAGCCUAGGACAGGCCCGUGGUUGGUUAAUUCUUGCUCCGUCUCUCAGCUGGAAGUUUCCUUUUAAAGAUAUAAAAUAAUGGGAGCAGCAGAAUGAGAGGAAGUGACCCCACUAAGG